CUUUUAUCUCGAUUUUGUGCC
Molecule: non-coding RNA, 21 nt
Filed under: Arabidopsis thaliana (thale cress)
Lineage: Eukaryota; Viridiplantae; Streptophyta; Magnoliopsida; Brassicales; Brassicaceae
Source: RNAcentral